UGUAAGCGUAUACCAAAGUUGUUGCAGUUAAAACGCUCGUAGUCGGAAUUUGGCAGUUCCGGAUGUGUGCACGUCGUGUGCGCACUUCGCGGGGAUUGCUUUUGUGGUCUUGCGUAGGAUGAGGCACUUUUAUUAGUGAACGUCCUCACGCAACCACUUUUUACUGUGAGAAAAUCAGAGUGCUCAAAGCAGGCAUUCGCCGUGAAUGUAUUAGCAUGGAAUAAUAGAAUAGGACUUGGUUCUAUUUUGUUGGUUUGUUGGGACUGAGUAAUGAUUAAGAGGGACAGUUGGGGGCAUUUGUAUUUCGGUGCUAGAGGUGAAAUUCUUAGAUUACCGAAAGACAAACUGCUGCGAAAGCGUCUGCCAAGGAUGUCUUCAUUGA
This 382-nucleotide ribosomal RNA is filed under the name uncultured eukaryote. RNAcentral's name for it is "partial 18S ribosomal RNA". It matches the Rfam family "Eukaryotic small subunit ribosomal RNA", at positions 592 to 976 of the family's 1831-position model. The record is from RNAcentral.